RNAcentral lists this long non-coding RNA (353 nucleotides) under Cucumis sativus (cucumber). RNAcentral describes it as "long non-coding RNA (CSAT_LNC002432)". The record is from RNAcentral. Lineage: Eukaryota; Viridiplantae; Streptophyta; Magnoliopsida; Cucurbitales; Cucurbitaceae.
ACAUAGUCAGGUGCCCAGAUCCUGAAUAUGCUGAGAAAAUGAUUGCUGCCAUUGACGCUGUUCGUGUGAGGGGGGAAUCAAUUGGUGGUGUUGUCACAUGCAUUGUGAAGAACUGUCCACCUGUAUGUGUCUCUCUCCCUCCCUAAACACACUGUUGGCAUGCGAAUAUUUCUGCGUCUAAAAGUCUUAUUUUCAUAUCUCAAGAUAUUUCUAUAUUUUUAAAAUUUUGUUGAAGUAAUGAGGAUUACAAAUUUCAUCAGGGGCUUGGUUCACCAGUUUUUGACAAACUUGAAGCUGAGUUUGCUAAAGCUGUUUUGUCAUUACCAGCAUCGAAGGGCUUUGAAAUUGGCAGU